UCCGGUUUGUCACCGGCAGUCUCGCAUGAGUCCCCAACUAAAUGCUGGCAACAUGCGACGGGGGUUGCGCUCGUUGCGGGACUUAACCCAACAUCUCACGACACGAGCUGACGACAGCCAUGCACCACCUGUGAAGCUGCCCCGAAGGGAAGACCUGUUUCCAGGCCGAUCAGCCACAUGUCAAGGGUUGGUAAGGUUCUUCGCGUUGCGUCGAAUUAAACCACAUGCUCCGCUGCUUGUGCGGGUCCCCGUCAAUUCCUUUGAGUUUUAGCCUUGCGGCCGUACUCCCCAGGCGGGGCACUUAGUGCGUUAGCUACGGCACGGGAGGAGUCGACACCUCCCACACCUAGUGCCCAUCGUUUACAGCGUGGACUAC
This 376-nucleotide unclassified non-coding RNA is filed under the name uncultured Solirubrobacterales bacterium. Its description in RNAcentral is "contains 16S-23S intergenic spacer region". Lineage: Bacteria; Bacillati; Actinomycetota; Thermoleophilia; Solirubrobacterales. The record is from RNAcentral.